CCUACGGGAGGCAGCAGUGAGGAAUAUUGGUCAAUGGGCGCGAGCCUGAACCAGCCAAGUCGCGUGAGGGAAGACGGUCCUAUGGAUUGUAAACCUCUUUUGUCGGGGAGCAAAAGACGCCACGCGUGGCGUUCCGAGAGUCCCCGCAGAAAAAGCAUCGGCUAACUCCGUGCCAGCAGCCGCGGUAAUACGGAGGAUGCGAGCGUUAUCCGGAUUUAGUGGGUUUAAAGGGUGCGCAGGCGGAAGAUCAGGUCAGCGGUAAAAUUGAGAGGCUCAACCUCUUCGAGCCGUUGAAACUGGUUUUCUUGAGUGAGCGAGAAGGAUGCGGAAGGCGUGGUGUAGCGGUGAAAUGCAUAGAUAUCACGCAGAACUCCGAGUGCGAAGGCAGCAUACCGGCGCUCAACUGACGCUCAUGCACGAAAGUGUGGGUAGCGAACAGGAUUAGAUACCCUGGUAGUC
Molecule: ribosomal RNA, 459 nt
Filed under: uncultured bacterium
Lineage: Bacteria
Description: partial 16S ribosomal RNA
Rfam family: Bacterial small subunit ribosomal RNA
Source: RNAcentral